Non-coding RNA from Prunus avium (sweet cherry), 442 nucleotides. The record is from RefSeq and is a predicted model, not a curated record. NCBI's taxonomy places the organism in Eukaryota, Viridiplantae, Streptophyta, Magnoliopsida, Rosales, Rosaceae.
UUAUUUGGUUUUCCCAUCUCACUCCCCCCACUUGGAAAACCUUCUUUCUCAACUGCCACCUCCGAGACCGAGAAGACUGUGAGAGAGACAAAAAGAGUCACAGAGAGUUUUGAAUUAGGUGAAAUUCUGUUGCUGUAGAUUAGAUAUAGAUAGAUUCCUAUUGAUCCCAAACCUAAUUUUCGAAUUUUGAAAUCAAAACUCCAAUUCCAUUUUCUCUGCGAAAUUUUUUUUUUCAUUUAAAUUUAAAUUUAUUAUCACGUUGGACGAUUCGAAUUCCAAUUUAUAGCAGUUUAUUUGGAGUUCUUAAUGCUGAUUGAUGACGAGCUUUAACCUCAUAUCCCAAAAUGCCGGUUAUCUUUGCUCGUGAGGCUCCCAAGCUAUGGAGGAAAGUAUGCGCAGAGACGUCAACUGAAAUUUCGCUUCUUUCCGGGACUUGGAAGUA